AGUGAACGCUGGCGGUAGGCCUAACACAUGCAAGUCGAACGGCAGCACAGUAAGAGCUUGCUCUUACGGGUGGCGAGUGGCGGAUGGGUGAGGAAUACAUCGGAAUCUACUUUUUCGUGGGGGAUAACGUAGGGAAACUUACGCUAAUACCGCAUACGACCUACGGGUGAAAGCAGGGGAUCUUCGGACCUUGCGCGAUUGAAUGAGCCGAUGUCGGAUUAGCUAGUUGGCGGGGUAAAGGCCCACCAAGGCGACGAUCCGUAGCUGGUCUGAGAGGAUGAUCAGCCACACUGGAACUGAGACACGGUACAGACUCCUACGGGAGGCAGCAGUGGGGAAUAUUGGACAAUGGGCGCAAGCCUGAUCCAGCCAUACCGCGUGGGUGAAGAAGGCCUUCGGGUUGUAAAGCCCUUUUGUUGGGAAAGAAAAGCAGCAGGUUAAUACCCCGCUGUUCUGACGGUACCCAAAGAAUAAGCACCGGCUAACUUCGUG
Molecule: ribosomal RNA, 492 nt
Filed under: uncultured bacterium
Lineage: Bacteria
Description: partial 16S ribosomal RNA
Rfam family: Bacterial small subunit ribosomal RNA
Source: RNAcentral